This 227-nucleotide ribosomal RNA is filed under the name uncultured bacterium. RNAcentral describes it as "partial 16S ribosomal RNA". It matches the Rfam family "Bacterial small subunit ribosomal RNA", at positions 120 to 334 of the family's 1533-position model. The record is from RNAcentral.
AGCGACCUUGCCUCGUGGUGGGGGAUAGCCGGCCCAACGGCCGGGUAAUACCGCAUAGGGUGGUUUCUUCGCAUGGAGAGACUAGCAAAGCCCUGGAGCAAUCCAGUGGCGCCACAGGGGGGCUCGCGGCCUAUCAGCUAGUUGGGGGGGUAAUGGCCCACCAAGGCGACGACGGGUAGCUGGUCUGAGAGGAUGGCCAGCCACAUUGGGACUGAGAGACGGCCCAG